GUGAAUCAUCGAAUCUUUGAACGCAUAUUGCACCCUCUGGUAUUCCGGGGGGUACACCUGUUCGAGCGCCAUUUUGACCCUCAAACAUAGCUUGGUGUUGGGUUAGGCCCCUAAAGGGGCCCACCCUUAACUCGUAGGCGGUCAUGGUCAACUUCCCUCAGCGUAGCAGGCUCACGCACUCGCUUGGGGAUAGGCAUUGUGACCCGCUCAACCGAAACCCCUUUCCAAAGGUUUGGCCUCGGAUCAGGUGGGGAUACCCGCUGAACUUAAGCAUAUCAAUAAGCGGAGGA
This 290-nucleotide unclassified non-coding RNA is filed under the name Ascomycota sp. RNAcentral describes it as "partial contains 5.8S ribosomal RNA, internal transcribed spacer 2, and large subunit ribosomal RNA". The stretch from base 1 to 71 matches the Rfam family "5.8S ribosomal RNA", at positions 84 to 154 of the family's 154-position model. Lineage: Eukaryota; Fungi; Ascomycota. The record is from RNAcentral.